This is a long non-coding RNA of Dendronephthya gigantea, 586 nucleotides long. RefSeq lists it as uncharacterized. The transcript is spliced from 4 exons. NCBI's taxonomy places the organism in Eukaryota, Metazoa, Cnidaria, Anthozoa, Malacalcyonacea, Nephtheidae. The record is from RefSeq and is a predicted model, not a curated record.
GAUGGAAUCUUCUUUCAAUAAUGUUGGUGUUACGAUAAAGCAGAAGAAAAGUUCCAUCAAAGUGGAGUCGUUUUUUAAAACAAAUUUGGAAAAUACAGUUGAAUGAUAUAUUAUUAAGACAGUAUUUCGUUUGUCCUGUGUAAAGAAUGUGGGAUAUGACAGUAAAUGACAAUUUUUUCGUUUCAGUGAUGACGAACAUAUCACAUCAAUGUCAGAAUUCAGCGUCUAUAAAGAAACUCCUCGGAGUAAAAUAUUUUUAAUAAUUCGAUAUCGAAACCAUCCUCAGUCGUUCGGGCUGGAAUACACAAGCGGUCGGCUGAGAAAUUACUCGUCUCCUGACAGGGAAACAUUAUUGGCUGGUUUGCUAGACGGUGUUAGAGCCAGUUGAAACAUAGAUGUUUGCGUAAAAACGACCCCAACGAAGAGAAGUACUGUACGCUUAUUCAUAGAUGAUUGAGCGAAAAUUAUGGUCAAAAUUUUCCUGAUGAAAAUCUCGUACUGCUAUGAUUACCCUAAAUACGAUCCCUCAUUUCAUUCUCCUGCUGACGUAUGUGAUCUCAUAUAACACACCAACAAUUACACUUCU